This 1347-nucleotide ribosomal RNA is filed under the name uncultured bacterium. Its description in RNAcentral is "bacterial SSU rRNA". It matches the Rfam family "Bacterial small subunit ribosomal RNA", at positions 28 to 1381 of the family's 1533-position model. The record is from RNAcentral.
GACGAACGCUGGCGGCGUGCUUAACACAUGCAAGUCGAACGAUGAAGCCUAGCUUGCUAGGUGGAUUAGUGGCGAACGGGUGAGUAAUACGUGAGUAACCUACCUUUAACUCUGGGAUAAGCCUGGGAAACUGGGUCUAAUACCGGAUACGACCAAUCUCCGCAUGGGGUGUUGGUGGAAAGCGUUAUGUAGUGGUUAUAGAUGGGCUCACGGCCUAUCAGCUUGUUGGUGAGGUAACGGCUCACCAAGGCGACGACGGGUAGCCGGCCUGAGAGGGUGACCGGCCACACUGGGACUGAGACACGGCCCAGACUCCUACGGGAGGCAGCAGUGGGGAAUAUUGCACAAUGGGCGCAAGCCUGAUGCAGCGACGCCGCGUGAGGGAUGACGGCCUUCGGGUUGUAAACCUCUGUUAGCAGAGAAGAAGAGAGAUUGACGGUACCUGCAGAGAAAGCGCCGGCUAACUACGUGCCAGCAGCCGCGGUAAUACGUAGGGCGCGAGCGUUGUCCGGAAUUAUUGGGCGUAAAGAGCUUGUAGGCGGUUUGUCGCGUCUGCUGUGAAGGCCGGAGCUUAACUCCGUGUAUUGCAGUGGGUACGGGCAGACUAGAGUGCAGUAGGGGAGACUGGAAUUCCUGGUGUAGCGGUGGAAUGCGCAGAUAUCAGGAGGAACACCGAUGGCGAAGGCAGGUCUCUGGGCUGUAACUGACGCUGAGAAGCGAAAGCAUGGGGAGCGAACAGGAUUAGAUACCCUGGUAGUCCAUGCCGUAAACGUUGGGCACUAGGUGUGGGGAACAUUCCACGUUUUCCGCGCCGUAGCUAACGCAUUAAGUGCCCCGCCUGGGGAGUACGGCCGCAAGGCUAAAACUCAAAGAAAUUGACGGGGGCCCGCACAAGCGGCGGAGCAUGCGGAUUAAUUCGAUGCAACGCGAAGAACCUUACCAAGGCUUGACAUAUACUGGACCGCAUCAGAGAUGGUGUUUCCCUUCGGGGCUGGUAUACAGGUGGUGCAUGGUUGUCGUCAGCUCGUGUCGUGAGAUGUUGGGUUAAGUCCCGCAACGAGCGCAACCCUCGUUCUAUGUUGCCAGCACGUUAUGGUGGGGACUCAUAGGAGACUGCCGGGGUCAACUCGGAGGAAGGUGGGGAUGACGUCAAAUCAUCAUGCCCCUUAUGUCUUGGGCUUCACGCAUGCUACAAUGGCCGGUACAGAGGGUUGCGAUACUGUGAGGUGGAGCUAAUCCCUAAAAGCCGGUCUCAGUUCGGAUUGGGGUCUGCAACUCGACCCCAUGAAGUCGGAGUCGCUAGUAAUCGCAGAUCAGCAACGCUGCGGUGAAUACGUUCCCGGGCCU